CAAACAAUAAAUGUCCGGGUUUGGGUAUGGGCAGACAGAAUCCUAGAUCAUAGAAAAGCAUUACUCCUCUGCUUUUGAGAGAAUGUCUGAAUUAUGGACCCGGAGGGGGGGGGGGGGGGGGGGGGGUAGUUUUGUAUAAAAGUUUGUCAUUUCCCCCAGUACUUUUUCGAGCAACGCUAUUUCUCUAUUAUACAUCCUGUGGCGGUGAAUGUUCUCUGUGGCUUCAUGGCCCAGCAUCCUGAGAGGGAUGCACUAGACUGCACUGCAUUUCCUCACUCUGUUAGUGACACAGUCUACAAGCAGGCUACUAGAGUGACAAGGAAAGAGAACUACACACAAGGGUUACUCAAAAUGGACAAAAUGCAGUUGACUUUUCCCUGUCUGACUGUCCUUUUGGGUCUCGUCCUGGCUUCUACCACCACAGCCCAGACACAGCCAGUCAAUCCCACUGUAACCCAGCCCACCUCAGCCUCCAACUCAGCCAACAAAACAGCCACUCCAAGACAUACCACGACUGUAGACAACAAUAAUUUAACAUUAUUCGCCAUAAACCCAAACCUUACUGAUCUCAUUUUUGAUAACGUCCCUAUAACCAAUUCCACCGGGCGGCCUAACCACACGGUAACCACACCACUGAAGACCAGUUCAGAUGCCUCUCCAGGACAGACAUCCUGGCCCUCACCAAUGGACGUCUCUACAUCAAAGCCCCCAGCAGAGGCCAGCAGCACAACUGAUAGCACUUCUGCUACUAGCACCACCAAGAAUAGAAGUUCGGCGGGAACUGCUCAACCAAAACCCUCUGCGAGAAAAUCGCCCCACAUUGGAUUGAUCAUCUUUAUUGUGAUCAUCAUCACUGCCUGUGUGCUUGGAGCAACAUGCUUCUUUACUAAGAAGACAUCAAGGAGGUACUCCGUAGAUCUCCGAGACAGGCAUGAGGAUCUGCCUCUGAGUGCUGCGGAUCACGACGCCGUGUUUGACAACUCCUCAACACAGAAGGGGAUGGACACCUUUACCGCCGUGGAUCUCAACAGCACCGAGGUCCUGGUUAAGGGAAGUGAGGGAGAAAGAGCAGAUAGUGAGAAAAUCUCUGACUACCCACCGCCUGCCAGCCCUGUGGACAAACCUGAUGAUGGGGCCCCUGGAGAUGUGGCCCCUGAGGCCCCAGUGGGGGAGACUGAUGACGAGAACACUGUCUCCAAUAAGACCUCAGUGGAGUCAGUGGAGGCCAACGAGAGCAACAACAACAACACCAGCAUCACCGCCAGGAUCGCUUCAACAACUCCAAGAGGACGGGCCAUGACCAGCAGCUUCUCUGAGGUUCCUCUGGACAACCCGGCCUAAAAGAGAUCCUCCUUUAUCUGCAGCCCCUUCACAACCACGGCUGAAGAAAAAACGUGAAGUAAAAGGUCAAGUCAUCGGAAACGCCUGAAAACAAAGUAUUUCUUUCAAUUCAUAUUAUAUAGGCUAGUUGAUUAAGUUGAUGUUUUCUCUGUCUAUAAACAAUGUAACUAUUGUUGUCUUUUAUAUCUCAGGAAUGGAAAUGCUAAUUUAAAUUUCACUUUUAUUAUUUACUUUUAUUAUACUGUAUUUUUGUUAUCGUAGCCUUCGGAGUUAAUACGCCUAAUUUUGAUUCAUUCAUUUAAAUUCUAAACAUAUGCCCUGCGUCACAGGGUCCAUGUCUCUUGUGUGUGUGUAUAUAGUAUAGAUAGGAAUGUAUGUCUUUAGGGAAUUAGUAGCAGUGUCAGAAUGUGUUCAUGUUGUUAUUCUGAUUUACUUAAGAUUUAUACCAUGGCAUUGUUAAAUACUGAUUUCUGAUUGGCUUGAAGGGCAUUCUAGAAAGCUGCCUUAUUUAUUUACAUAAACUCAUAUGAAGUCAUAUGAAAUGUGAGGUCAUGUAUGAACUUAAAAUUGUUAACAUCUCUGUUUCCAAGAUACAUUUUUGGGGAGAUCAGUUUCAAAUCUUUAUGCAGAUUUUUCACAUUCCCCCUCAAGCUAUAUUGUCAAUUCAUUUGUCUUUUUGAAAAAAAUGGCAAUACUUCCAUCGUCAUGUUCUGUAUAUUUUAUUUGCAUGGAUUUGAUUACAUCCUUUUUGGAUGUUUUUGAUGUAAGUAGCUAGAUAAAUGUAGUGAAUGUGUCACAAUAUGUCUGUUAUUGGGCGAUCUAAAUCCUACUCAGCGUGAAGCUUGUGUUUUAUUAAUGUUCUUCAACUUCCCCUCGUGUCAUCUGGGCCUCAUUCAGGAGCCAAACGUUGUGGAAACCCUUCAGAUAGAAAUGUCCUGAUUAGAGCUGACGUGAUUCCUGAUUCCGCAUCUCACAGAGGCAUGUCUAUUCUGCAAAAUAUAUUUCUGAACUUUUCACAAUGUUGAGCCCUGCUAAAUGCAGCACUGGUCCCCAACAUACAGUGAACUGGACCCUGCUAUUGCGAGGCCACCUGUUAAUAACCUCAUGAAUUAGAAACCAGGCUAUCAAGCCAAUCCACUGCAUCUCCAUCCAAGACGACAUCCUAAAAGGCUUAUGGGUGGAUUGCUCUGGAUGAUGCUAAUAGCAGCAGAUAUGCUAUAAUUUACACGUAGUAAAACACAACAACUAAAAAGAGAGGAAAGGGAGGCCAGGGCUAGAUACAGUCCAAGCCAAGAAGAUAGCAGUGUUGGUUCGUGAUCCAGGGGAAAUGAAAGUGAUACUGUGAUAUAGCCUAGCUAUGACGGAUAGGAAAGAAACAGCUGGGAGAGGUGGGAUACAGGAGAGAACUCCUAACUGUUUCCUUUACAGGAUAGUUUCUCCUCUUUCUACACACUCAUUCACAAACAUCCCAAUGUAGUGUGUGAAAUUCUACUUCCUUUUUUCAUGCAUCAAGUAGGAAAUCUUGACACAAAUAAAAUGUAAAAAGCUAAGAAGUCCAGAAGACGUUUCCAUAAAUAAUGCUCUGUCUAGAACAACUGUUUCUCUUGUUUGUACAUUUUAAUAAAUCUAUCAAAAACAUCUGCAGCAUCUAGUUUUGGUUUUUCUAAAAGCGUGGAGACAGCACUUCCUUCUCUCAGAUUUUUCAAGGGGGAAAAAAAAACAUUUCAAGAAACCUUUUUAAAAUAGCUGUCAUUGUAACAAGGUGUCCCUAGUUACAAUGUCAUUCU
Oncorhynchus kisutch (coho salmon) is the source of this 3128-nucleotide long non-coding RNA. The record is from Ensembl. Lineage: Eukaryota; Metazoa; Chordata; Actinopteri; Salmoniformes; Salmonidae.